RNAcentral lists this ribosomal RNA (254 nucleotides) under uncultured bacterium. RNAcentral's name for it is "partial 16S ribosomal RNA". It matches the Rfam family "Bacterial small subunit ribosomal RNA", at positions 524 to 776 of the family's 1533-position model. The record is from RNAcentral.
UACGUAGGGUGCGAGCGUUGUCCGGAAUUAUUGGGCGUAAAGAGCUCGUAGGCGGUGUGUCACGUCGGCCGUGAAAACCUGCAGCUUAACUGUGGGCGUGCGGUCGAUACGGGCAUCACUGGAGUUCGGCAGGGGAGACUGGAAUUCCUGGUGUAGCGGUGAAAUGCGUAGAUAUCAGGAGGAACACCGGUGGCGAAGGCGGAUCUCUGGGCCAUUACUGACGCUGAGGAGCGAAAGCGUGGGGAGCGAACAGG